GAGUUAAAUGUUUGCAUCCUGUGGAGAGUGUGGCUUGGCAGAAAGGGGAAGAAUAUUCCAGAGCUGGAGGAGUAGCUUGUGAAGAGGAGCUGCCUUAUGGAGAAGCCCACAUUGCAAAGAACUGAAGGAGACCCCUGAUCAAUAGGAAACAAAGGACCCUCAGUCCAAAAGUCCAUGAGGAACUUGAGUCCUGCAGCAACCAUGAAGCACAAUACCCUGGAUUCUGGAUGAAUCCAGGGCCCACCAGAGCUUUGGAAAAGCAGAAUGAGGUGGAGGAGUAGUCUAAG
Balaenoptera ricei (Rice's whale) is the source of this 287-nucleotide long non-coding RNA. RefSeq lists it as uncharacterized. The record is from RefSeq and is a predicted model, not a curated record. The transcript has 3 exons. NCBI's taxonomy places the organism in Eukaryota, Metazoa, Chordata, Mammalia, Artiodactyla, Balaenopteridae.